CAGCCGCCGCGGGAAAACGGAGGGUGCAAGCGUUAAUCGGAAUUACUGGGCGUAAAGCGCACGCAGGCGGUCUGACAAGUCAGAUGUGAAAUCCCCGGGCUUAACCUGGGAACUGCAUUUGAAACUGUCAGGCUGGAGUCUUGUAGAGGGGGGUAGAAUUCCAGGUGUAGCGGUGAAAUGCGUAGAGAUCUGGAGGAAUACCGGUGGCGAAGGCGGUCCCCUGGACAAAGACUGACGCUCAGGUGCGAAAGCGUGGGGAGCAAACAGGAUUAGAUACCCGCGUAGUCCCUGUCUCUUAUAC
RNAcentral lists this ribosomal RNA (301 nucleotides) under uncultured bacterium. Its description in RNAcentral is "partial 16S ribosomal RNA". It matches the Rfam family "Bacterial small subunit ribosomal RNA", at positions 509 to 807 of the family's 1533-position model. The record is from RNAcentral.